This is a long non-coding RNA of Oncorhynchus tshawytscha (Chinook salmon), 3509 nucleotides long. Lineage: Eukaryota; Metazoa; Chordata; Actinopteri; Salmoniformes; Salmonidae. The record is from Ensembl.
GGAGAGGGAGAGAGACAGAGGGAGAGAGAGAGAGAGAGAGAGAGAGAGAGAAGGAGAUAGAAGGAGAGAGAGAGAGAGAGAGAGAAGGAGAGAGAAGGAGAGAGAGAGAGAGGGAGAGAGAGACAGAGAAGAAGAAGAAGGAGAGAGAAGGAGAAAGAAGGAGAGAGAGAGAAAUAUGGCUGUUUUUCCUGUUUAACAAUCCCUACUCUAAACAAUUCCAGGAGGAAAGUGUGAGUCUCCAAGGUGGAUUUUGGACACAGAUUUAUGCCCCUAUCCCAGCCAGGGACAAUCACCCAACCAUCAUAUUCACUAAUAUGCUGCACCAAGGCAGAGAGAAAUUUGCAUUAUAAUUGUAAAGCCAAAUUCAAACCACUCAUACAUGUUCCAUACAUAACUACAAUUACAAGAGUAUGUGUACAACUGGGGCAGAAUAUUUAAGUGUGAUCUGUAUGCUGAUUGGAAUACAUGCUAUUGUCUUAGAGGACAAUAAUAUACACAGAUGUUUGAUUUUAUGGUUACUGCAUAUAGUAUGUCCCCAACAGUACAUGUGGAGGAAGCAUAUCUGAACUACAGGUAUUGGGAGGAAGACAAAAUCCUCAACAGCUUCUUUGACCAAAAUGGAAACAUAUUGUUAAGAUGGUCUGUAAUAAGGAGAGCAAAUCUGUAUGGCAACACAUCCUGUCUGGACUUUACCCGGGCAGUGGCACACUAUCUCUGUGACAUGUGUUAUGUAGUUUGGGGUAUAGGAGAAAUCAAUUAGAAACUCAAUGCAUACAUACAAGUGUUGUUGAAUAUGAAAUAUAUACAGUUGAAGUAGGGAAGUUUACAUACACUUAGGUUGGAGUCAUUAAAACUUGUUUUUCAACCACUCCACACAUUUCUUGUUAACAAACUAUAGUUUUGGCAAGUUGGUUAGGACAUCUACUUUGUGCAUGAAACAAGUAAUUUUUUCAACAAAUGUUUACAGAAAGAUUAUUUCACUUAUAAUUCACUGUAUCACAAUUCCAGUGGGUCAGAAGUUUACAUACAAUAAGUUGACUGUGCCUUUAAACAGCUUGGAAAAUUCCCAAAAAUUAUGUCAUGGCUUUAGAAGCUUCUGAUAGGCUAAUUGACAUAAUUUGAGUCAAUUGGAGGUGUACCUGUGGAUGUAUUUCAAGACCUACCUUCAAACUCAGUGCCUCUGCUUGACGUCAUGGGAAAAUCAAAAGAAAUCAGCCAAGAACCCAGAAAAAAAUUGAAGACGUCCACAAGUCUGGUUCAUCCUUGGGAGCAAUUUCCAAACGCCUGAAGGUACCACGUUCAUCUGUACAAACAAUAGUACGCAAGUAUAAACACCAUGGGACCACGCAGCCUUCAUACCGCUCAGGAAGGAGACGCGUUCUGUCUUCUAGAGAUGAACGUACUUUGGUGCGAAAAGUUCAAAUCAAUCCCAGAACAACAGCAAAGGACCUUGUGAAGAUGCUGGAGGAAUAGAUGGAAUUAGAUGGUAUCAUGAGGCAGGAAAAUGAUGUGGAUAUAUUGAAGCAACAUCUCAAGACAUCAGUCAGGAAGUUAAAGCUUGGUCACAAAUGGGGCUUCCAAAUGGACAAUGACCCCAAGCAUACUUCCAAAGUUGUGGCAAAGUGGCGUAAGGACAGACAAAGUCAAGGUAUUGGAGUGGCCAUCACAAAGCCCUGACCUCAAUACCAUAGAAAGUUUGUGGGCAGAACUUAAAAAGCGUGUGUGAGCAAGGAGGCCUACAAACCUGAUUCAGUUACACCAGCUCUGUCAGGAGGAAUGGGCCAAAAUUCACCCAACUUAUUGUGGGAAGCUUGUGGAAGUUAAACAAUUUAAAGGCAAUGCUAUCAAAUACUAAUGGAGUAUGUAAACUUCUGACCCACUGGGAAUGUGAUGAAAGAAAUAAAAGCUGAAAUAAAUCAUUCUCUCUAUGAUUAUUCUAACAUUUCACAUUCUUAAAAUAAAGUGGUGAUCCUAACGGACCUAAAACAAGGAUUAUUUUACUGGAAUUAAAUGUCAGGAAUUGUGAAAAACUGAGUUUAAAUGUAUUUGGCUAAGGUGUAUGUAAACUUCUGACUUCAACUGUAAUUACAUAAAGAUAAAGGUAGGGUUGAAGCCGCCCUUUGUAAAACAUGUUUCUCAAGAAAUAAAUCACAUCAUCACAUAAAAGCAGGUCUGGUUGAGCAAGCAAAAAUUAAUAGCAUCUGGGGAUGUUACAGCAGUAUGAUGGUAUAGGAGUAGGAUGUUAUAGGGCCAGGUGUUGUAGGAGUAGGAUGUUAUAGGAGUAGGGUAUUAUAGGAGUAGGAUGUUAUAGGGCCAGGUGUUAUAGGAGUAGGAUGUUAUAGGGCCAGGUGUUAUAGGGCCAGGUAUUAUAGGGCCAGGUAUUAUAGGAGUAGGAUGUUAUAGGGCCAGGUGUUACAGGGCCAGGUGUUAUAGGAGUAGGGUGUUAUAGGGCCAGGUGUUAUAAGAGUAGGAUGUUAUAGGGCCAGGUAUUAUAGGAGUAGGGUGUUAUAGGGCCAGGUGUUAUAAGAGUAGGAUGUUAUAGGGCCAGGUGUUAUAGGGCCAGGUGUUAUAGGGCCAGGUGUUAUAGGAUUAGGAUGUUAUAGGGCCAGGUGUUAUAGGAGUAGGGUGUUAUAGGGCCAGGUGUUAUAUGGCCAGGUGUUAUAGGAGUAGGAUGUUAUAGGGGUAGGUGUUAUAGGAGUAGGGUGUUAUAGGGCCAGGUGUUAUAGGAGUAGAUGUUAUAGGAGUAGAUGUUAUAGGGGUAGGGUGUUAUAGGGCCAGGUAUUAUAGGAGUAGGGUGUUAUAGGAGUAGGUGUUAUAGGAGUAGGUGUUAUAGGGCCAGGUGUUAUAGGGCCAGGUGUUAUAGGGCCAGGUAUUAUAGGAGUAGAUGUUAUAGGAGUAGGUGUUAUAGGAGUAGGGUGUUAUAGGGCCAGGUAUUAUAGGAGUAGAUGUUAUAGGAGUAGGUGUUAUAGGAGUAGGGUGUUAUAGGAGUAGGGUGUUAUAGGAGCAGGGUGUUAUAGGAGUAGGAUGUUAUAGGAGUAGGGUGUUAUAGGAGUAGGGUGUUAUAGGAGUAGGGUGUUAUAGGAGUAGGUGUUAUAGGAGUAGGGUGUUAUAGGAGUAGGUGUUAUAGGAGUAGGUGUUAUAGGAGUAGGGUGUUAUAGGAGUAGGUGUUAUAGGAGUAGGGUGUUAUAGGAGUAGGGUGUUAUAGGAGUAGGUGUUAUAGGAGUAGGGUGUUAUAGGGCCACGUGUUAUAGGAAUACAUUUUACAGCAUUAGAUAUACAUUUAUGGACUGAGUUCAAAAAUUAUUUUUUAAAUCUUUGGACAUUUUUUAGGAGCUGAAUGAAAGUACAUGAUGGAGAUGUAUUCGAACAUGUGUCUGUGUAUCGAUCUGACAUAUAAUUCAGAUAUAUCGGAUAUAUCGAUAUAAUUCAGUCUAUUUGUCAUCACCAUCUUUUGUAUUGUAGUAUUUGGUGUAAUUUCCCUCCUAUGUCCCUUUAGUUUUGUAUGCUGG